Molecule: ribosomal RNA, 877 nt
Filed under: Sporormiella procaviae
Lineage: Eukaryota; Fungi; Ascomycota; Dothideomycetes; Pleosporales; Sporormiaceae
Description: Preussia procaviae partial large subunit ribosomal RNA
Rfam family: Eukaryotic large subunit ribosomal RNA
Source: RNAcentral
CCAACAGGGAUUGCCCUAGUAACGGCGAGUGAAGCGGCAACAGCUCAAAUUUGAAAUCUGGCUCUUUCAGGGUCCGAGUUGUAAUUUGUAGAGGGUGCUUUGGAGUUGACUGUGGUCUAAGUUCCUUGGAACAGGACGUCGCAGAGGGUGAGAAUCCCGUAUGUGGCCGCCAGUCUUCGCCGUGUAAAGCCCCUUCGACGAGUCGAGUUGUUUGGGAAUGCAGCUCUAAAUGGGAGGUAAAUUUCUUCUAAAGCUAAAUAUUGGCCAGAGACCGAUAGCGCACAAGUAGAGUGAUCGAAAGAUGAAAAGCACUUUGGAAAGAGAGUCAAAAAGCACGUGAAAUUGUUGAAAGGGAAGCGCUUGCAGCCAGACUUGCCUGUAGUUGCUCAUCCGGGCUUUUGCCCGGUGCACUCUUCUAUAGGCAGGCCAGCAUCAGUCCUGGCGGUCGGAUAAAUGCCCGCUGAAUGUACCUCUCCUCGGGGAGGACUUAUAGCAGUGGGCGGCAUACGACCAGCCGGGAUUGAGGUCCGCGCAUCUGCUAGGAUGCUGGCGUAAUGGCUGUAAGCGGCCCGUCUUGAAACACGGACCAAGGAGUCUAACAUCUAUGCGAGUGUUUGGGUGUCAAGCCCGAGCGCGUAAUGAAAGUGAACGGAGGUGGGAACCCCUCGGGGCGCACCAUCGACCGAUCCUGAUGUCUUCGGAUGGAUUUGAGUAAGAGCAUAGCUGUUGGGACCCGAAAGAUGGUGAACUAUGCCUGAAUAGGGUGAAGCCAGAGGAAACUCUGGUGGAGGCUCGCAGCGGUUCUGACGUGCAAAUCGAUCGUCAAAUUUGGGCAUAGGGGCGAAAGACUAAUCGAACUAUCUAGUAGCUGGGUUCU